CUCUGCUCCGGUUCCUUUCUGUCUGUCCCAAGAACCGCAGUGCGCGCGGCGCCGCCCGAGGCGUUCCUUGGAAAGUUUCCCCGGCUUGAUUACUUACAGACGGGACAGCUCUGUUCCCACUGCGCUUCCUACAUCCUGUCCGAGCGGUUAUUACCCAACGCUACCCACGUUCCGAUAACAAGGAGAUUCCGCGAACUCCGUCCCAGUCCCUGAAAUAUAGCGUGACUGCCCUCCCCGCCGGGGCUGUAAAGUGGCAGCCGGGCGCCGGCCUCCAGCGGCACCUGCGCCGCCCGCGGGGCGAGGGCCGCCCGGAGCACGAAGUGCGUGCGGCCGCCGGCUUGCAGGUCACGCAACGCGGCCGCCCCGCCCCCAGCCCCCCCAACCUCCGCCCUCGCUGCUUUCGUGCGCGCCGGGGGCUUCCUGGUCGCCCGGGGCCCGCCUCGCGUGCCGACUGGGCCGCGUAAUCCGCCGAGGAAUCCGAUUCCGGGCAGCCCCGAUGCCCUCGCUCCCGGGAGCCUGGGCGGGCGACGCCCUCGUCUGAACGCCGUCGUUUCCAUCUGCAAGGUACUAUGCAAGGCACUGGUCUUCAUCUGAAGAUUUAUCAGCAUACAAGACAGAUGUGGUCUCUUGCCUUGGAUCACACAGUUAAUGGAGGAGCUGGAACCAGAAAAAAAACUGUAGAUUUUUAAUUAAAAGAACUUCCAUUAAUCAAAUGCUGACUCUAUACCAGGCCCGAAGUGUUUCACCUACACUAAGUCAUAUAAUCUCUACUUAUGGUAGGGCAGAACACACCUUCCCACUCCUAGGGCCUCCUGGCCCAUCUCUCCUGCCUCCUUUUCUCUGCCCAAGAGGGAAAUGGCUUAUCUGUGUUUGGAAAGAUUAACAGAGCCCAAGUAAUUCAGUCCCAUCUCUUAUCUCUCGUUUUUGGUAGGCAGAACUGGCUGUCUGAAAAAAGUUUGUUCAGCUUUGCUCUUACAGAUCCUAUGGAGAACUGGGGCAGAAGAUCAGCAAGACACAUACUGGGGUUUAAAAUUAGGAAGCCCAGUUUCUCACAUCAGCUUUCUCAUCAAAUGAGUUACUCUGUGUAUAUGUAAUGGAGAAGCAUUUCAUAAAAAUAACAAGUAACUGUGCAC
This 1133-nucleotide long non-coding RNA is filed under the name Heterocephalus glaber (naked mole-rat). RNAcentral describes it as "lncRNA (ENSHGLG00100034961.1)". The record is from RNAcentral. Lineage: Eukaryota; Metazoa; Chordata; Mammalia; Rodentia; Bathyergidae.